RNAcentral lists this long non-coding RNA (1488 nucleotides) under Salmo salar (Atlantic salmon). RNAcentral's name for it is "lncRNA (ENSSSAG00000099220.1)". The record is from RNAcentral. Lineage: Eukaryota; Metazoa; Chordata; Actinopteri; Salmoniformes; Salmonidae.
GUGUUGUGCUGCCUGGCGGUCUAAACAGCUGUGGGAGAAGAUGCCUGUGGUCAGAUGUCACCUGCCCCCUCAAUGCCUCUGAUGCACGGCCUUCAUACCUACUGGGUCAAGAAGAUUGGAAUCAGGGAGGAGAGGAGGAGGGGACGGUAAUUGAAGAUUUGUCCAUAAAGGAACAGUGAGAGAGGCGCUUGCAUGACUGUGACCUUGCAGAAGAAGAGGAAACUAAUUUCGCUCCAGUUUGGUUCUAGCAGCAGAACAAGCACCUGUCAACUAAAUACAAAAUAAAGAAACUUUAUUCUCAGGAGGCUUGGAGAGCAGCAGAUAGGAGCACUGGUUUUAUUAACAUUAAAAAGGAAGGUAGUCUUAUCAUAGCUAGACCAGUCCCACGUGGGUCCUCUUGAGCGCUAUUAAAAAAGCUAAUGGGGAGGGAUGUGUGGAUGGCAUUGGCCCCUUGCGACGACUGCCAAAUGUAUAAAAAGAAAAUGAUGAGCCCUUUAAAAAUCUUGUGCUGCACCUUAAUUAACCAUCCGUGUUUGGUAGUGUAAGGGAGAGGAUGGAAGGAUGCGGGGAGGGAGAGUGGGAGGGGGAGAGAAGGCGAGGGGGGUCUUUCAAGAACAAUGACUUUGAAAUGCAAAGAAGCCGAAGCAGCCUUAUCAAGCAUUUACUUCAUCAUAUCAUAGUGAAGAGGGGAGCAGGAGCAGAAUUCUUGAUUUACCAUCAGUCGUGUUCAGAGAACUGCACAAAGAGGAAGUCUUUUCAUUUGUAUUUUGCACAGGAAACGAAGAUACAAGUGCUGAUCUUUCAUCUCGGGUUGAACUAAGGCAUCAAAGCCGGGUUUGAUACCAGGACUCUCUCGCUCUGUUUGCAGUUUGUCAGUGUGUUCUUGUGUUCCUGCUGUUGCCCCAAAUGAAAGCGAAAGAGCUGCAGAUGAGACAUACUGUACAUGAUGCUGUUGUACAAAUAUGGACGCCAUCAUUCAUCCAGGGAAGGAUACUGAAGAUAUAAAGUUGGGUAAUAAAGCAGUGGUCUGACUAAGCCUCUACUGCCACAUUCAGCAGCCAAUACAACCCAAUCUUGUCAUCCCUCCAGUAGGAUUCUCCCAUGACCUUGACUUACUGACUAAUACUUCUCCAUCCAGUCCAGCGUUAUUGCCCACUAUUCGACUUCCCAAUGGAGCCAUCUCUCAUCACGUUGUUCCUUUCACACACACAACACAUGCAUACAGACUGGCUCUGACAGACAGCAUCAAUAAAGAGAACCACCUGACACCCUCAAAGGAACCAUAUCCCCAGACAAAGCAUGCGAGCACGCGCGCACACACAUACACACACACGCAUCAGAUCCUCAAAGACAGAGUCAGACAGACAGGGGAGGAGAGAUAAAAGACAAAUGAAGAAUUUAAUUGAGCUGUAGCUUCUGGCCAAAGGGAUUAGUAUGACAGACCUCUGGGGGGGAUAUCUCUCUCUUUCUUUCUCUGCAGCCACGUCU